ACUUUUUAAACUGCAAUCAAUAUCAAUAGAAAUGUUAAUCGUGCUUUUAUUGACAAUUAUAUCAUUCUCAAACCAAGGAUAUAUUUGUACCAAUGACUGCAAAGUCCGUGAUAGAUGCAUCCCUUAUUGGUUCAAGAUCAUACAAAAUUGGAGCAACUGUGAUUCUGCCUUCAUAGGAAUACAUGAAGUAAAUCAUAGCAAGCAUACAAAGAACCUUCGACUUUGACCAUCGGCGCGAACAAAUAAUGGUUUCCAAUUGCCACGAUACUAUCGACGGAAGAUGAUACCAAACGAACAGGGACGAAGUUCAGGCUGUUGUUUGGACUAUGGCCAAGUAUGCGAAAAUAGAAUCGUCUUCCUACAGCUAAGCAUGAAUCACAGACGCGCAAGAACUAAACCGGUUAGCCCCUUCCUGUCUGCCAUCUCUUCAACUGGCUCUUACACUCAGCUCUAAACAAUAUUUCCUGAACACAUUAGACAACGUGUAGCUAGAAUGGCAUCUGCUAAUAUAAAAUUCAAAUUGCUCACUGGAUUUCUGUUGGAAUAAGUUUAAAUAAAAAAAUUCCUUAUUCGACCUCACCGAAUAAUCAUGUAUAAUUUAUUAUGGAGUACAACAAUUUCAUCUUCAUUCUGUGGUUAUUUCUGAGCUUUCUUUUUACGCACGACUUGACCAAAUAGUGUAUAUUCUGUUUAUUAAUAAAAAACAUGUAUGCAAAUCUCGAACUAUUGAAUAACUCUGGUUUUAUUUUUGCAUGUAAUGUCUUGGAUUUAACUGAAACCAUGACUUUGUAACGCUUUGAUAUUUGAGCGUUAAAAAAAAAUGCAUAAAUAAAUUCUUUUUUGCCAUAAACAAACAAUGUUUGUGAUAAUUUGAACGAUAUUGGCUCGCAUCACAACAAAUUCAUUUUCCUAAUAUUUCAUCAGAAUAUAACAACGGUUUUACGUAAAAUUGGUUUUAUUUUUUGAAUUACCACAUGAUUUAUCAAGACGUUAACUUUGUGCUUACACGUGGGUUACAGCGUCAAGAAAAGUGUAAGGUCUAACAGUCAAUAGUGCACACGGCACAGCUAAGUCGUUUAACUUACUAUUGUUACUGUAUAGCUAAGGAUCCCUAUGUCGGAACAGCUGAUAUAAUAUAUAUGAACGUCAUACUACAUGAAUAAAAGCAGUAAUAAACAGUAAUCCACAAAUACAUAAAUAAAUAUGGCACUUCCACGUGAUAAUCGGUCAAUACGAUAGAUCUAAGCUUAUCGAAGUCCGCCUUAUUCGAUAAUCAUAAUCAUUCCUAUAUUUAA
Molecule: long non-coding RNA, 1295 nt
Organism: Cephus cinctus (wheat stem sawfly)
Lineage: Eukaryota; Metazoa; Arthropoda; Insecta; Hymenoptera; Cephidae
Exons: 3
Source: RefSeq, a predicted model, not a curated record